Long non-coding RNA from Armigeres subalbatus, 1878 nucleotides. RefSeq lists it as uncharacterized. The transcript is spliced from 4 exons. Lineage: Eukaryota; Metazoa; Arthropoda; Insecta; Diptera; Culicidae. The record is from RefSeq and is a predicted model, not a curated record.
GAUCCGCUCCGCUGUCCGAAUAAACCGAAGUUGUGGGCUCAUGUGUUGCUGCUGAUUUAGAACGAUGGAUACUACCUGUGGCUGUGGGAGAUCUGUCAUCGCGUAGGAAAGGAAAGUGCUUCUUUGCGGGUUCCCGUAAUACCACCGACCGGAUUAGUACCGUUCCGGGGAGCAUGGACAUUGAAGCGCGAGUAUCUGCGCUCUGCGUAAACACUAUCGACUGAUCCUGAUUGUUCAGAAGAAUAUACACUGCCAUAUACAAGAAGGCAGAAGUGGACCAUUUCACGCGACUUUCUGGGGCUGAUGUCGGAUCAACUGGAUGAUGGAAUACAUACGAGUAAACAAAAAUCAUGCCGGGAAAACCCCCAUUUUCAGCGGUGGUCAAGUUCAGCAAGCAACGAUCGUCGUCUGUGGUGUAGGAACCAGUGCGAGUCCGACAGUGGCAACACUUGUGCAAGCCUCAUCGAUAUACAGGGCGGACGUCUCGACCCCAGCCCGAUUGUGAAGGCCAUAGUCGCAAGCCCUUCAAAUCAGAACAUUAUCACCCAGCAACAUCAUCCAAACAGGCACGGUAGGACAGGCAGUACAAGUGCAAUCAGUCGGGCAGAAGGUCUCAGUUGCUACGAUUAAUACUAGUUCCGCAGCGAAUGUUACCACAAUACAGGCAGGAACAAUAUCCACAGUUCAAGUUACCCCUGGACAACAGAGAACUCAGUUCAUUGAGCAGGUUGGAACGAAACAGAUGAUAACUCGGCGAGUUAUUGAGGGUGAGAUGCAAAUGAUGAUGGAACGGCAGAUUAUCAGUCAACAGCACAAGUAGUAACUUAUGCCCCAAACACGGGUUUUUGCUCCUGCCAAUGUGUUAGUCCAAUAGGCUGGAACUUCCGGUCAGCAAAUUGCAACACUUGUUAAAACUUCAUCAGGAACAGUAGCAGCAAGUAGCAGUUACUGGAAUGACGUUGUCUCAGUUGAAACCUGGUCAACUGAAAGCAAUCAAGAGUCAGGUUUGACAGCUUUAUCUUCAACAGCAAAUCAUUGCUGCUCAGCGUAAGACUGGAAAAAUGAAUUAGAUUACGCAGAUGGCCGGCAAAAGUGCCCAACCAAUGCAGCUUUUCGUGCAAGGUCCCAAAAAUCUAUCUACAGGAACUGUUACAACAGAUACAGCAAGUUAUCCGUCAUGCGCAGCCGGCAUCUAUUGUCGCUGGUGGACAAAUCGUGCUGGGUAACACCAGUGUCGGACGGUUCAUUCCGUUGUCAGUGUCACAACAGGCCAACCAACGACAGACCGUUCAAGUUGUGACCGCAACUUCGGCUGCACAAGCAAAUGCAGCUGGCAACAUCCAAGUCUAUGCUCCUACUCAGAGCAUUGGGAACAUUAAGGUGACCGCCGGAGCUACUCCAGCUCAGCAGCAGCAGGCUAUUCUGACUGAAUUGCAAAAUCAGCAGCGCUAAACUGCAAGCCCAGUGCGAUUGCACGUCUAGCGGAUCAUUAGCGUAGCGAUCGUUACAAUACAGCAACCUCAAGCGGUGGCAUCCGCUACCAGUGCAGCCGAGCUGCAGCAACAGGCGAAACAAGUUGUCACAGCUUGCACAUUUCAGGCGCAACAGGCGGAACGCCUUCAUUGUCAUAAGACGACUUUAGUAUUCAGUGUCUCGUAUUUGACUAGACAUAAAAAAGACAAUUGCAAAUUUUUUAAUUACCUCAUUCACCUAUACAACUAAUUGUCUUAUUGCUUAGGUAGAAACUUGAAGAGCAGCUGCCGUAUCCCCAAUCUAGUUAUUUACAUACUCCUCCACUUAAAUAACAUCGAAGAUCUCGGUUCUUCCAGGUAAAUCCAAGACUGACGACUGACACUUUCGAACGAAUGCGAUUCAUUC